RNAcentral lists this unclassified non-coding RNA (424 nucleotides) under Zea mays. RNAcentral's name for it is "misc RNA Zm00001eb347560". Lineage: Eukaryota; Viridiplantae; Streptophyta; Magnoliopsida; Poales; Poaceae. The record is from RNAcentral.
CCAGAGGCCAGACGCCACCACCAGAUCCGUCCGCCGCUGCCCGCCCCACCCGGCCACCCCCUCCGCCGUCACCACCACCGGAGGACGCAUCCCCAGGGCCGCCGCAUCCUGCUCCUGCCGGAUCCCCAGGACCACCGGAGGAAGACGCAUCCCUAGGAGCCACCGAGCGUCCGAGGCCAAGCCAGGAGUCCAAGUCUCCACUCUCCAGGACCGGCCGCGGCAUCCCCAUUCCGGCACUCCCCAGGACCACCGGAGUCCGACUGCAGCAGCGCAGCCUGCUCCCACCACGUACGAGGUUCCUAUCCUUGCAGAGUCUGAUGUCUGACCAAGGUGCUUCGAGGCCGAGCAGGAGCAGUCGUCAAGUUCCCACAAAGAGCAGUGCUGUGGUUGCAGGAGGUUCCUCAAGUGCAGCUACACCGACGAG